This 460-nucleotide ribosomal RNA is filed under the name uncultured bacterium. Its description in RNAcentral is "partial 16S ribosomal RNA". It matches the Rfam family "Bacterial small subunit ribosomal RNA", at positions 338 to 795 of the family's 1533-position model. The record is from RNAcentral.
CCUACGGGUGGCAGCAGUGAGGAAUAUUGGUCAAUGGGCGCGAGCCUGAACCAGCCAAGUAGCGUGAAGGAUGACUGCCCUACGGGUUUUAAACUUCUUUUAUAAAGGAAUAAAGUGAUGCACGUGUGCCUUUUUGUAUGGACUUUAUGUAUAAGGAUCGGCUAACUCCGUUCCAGCAGCCGCGGUAAUACGGAGGAUCCGAGCGUUAUCCGGAUUUAUUGGGUUUAAAGGGAACGUAGAUGGGUUGUUAAGUCAGUUGUGAAAGUUUGCGGCUCAACCGUAGAAGUGCAAUUGAUACUGGCAGUCUUGAGUACAGAUGAGGUGAGCGGAAUUCGUGGUGUAGCGGUGAAAUGCUUAGAUAUCACGAAGAACUCCGAUUGCGAAAGCAGCUUACUAGUCUGCAACUGACAUUGAUGCUCGAAAGUGUGGGUAUCAAACAGGAUUAGAUACCCCGGUAGUC